UAUAUAGCUUUACUCUAUCAACACCACUCCCAUUUGUUUAUGUAACUUGGGAAAAUAUACUUUUUUUGUUCUCUGAAAUUCCAUGUUAAGCAUUUAUAAACAAAUUUGGGGGCCAAUCCAGUGAAACACCCUAUCCAAUCAAACUACUCUUAUGUGCAUGGUACACUAUCUGGAUGUCUGACCUUCAAACAGCCUGACUUAACAAUAACUGACAGCUCAAAUUAAAAACUAUUUGUAGUACAUUGGGAUAUUGGGAUAUGGUCGGGUCAUUUUCUUCAGAGAUCUUCCUGCUUCUAGAAGUUUUCAUUUCAUUUUACAUUUCAGCUCUCAUCUCCACAAGAACCCUCAAUCACAAAUGCUUCUGAGGAAUGGCAUCAAUAAAAAUAGGAUGACGCAGUUCAUUUACAGCUCUUUUGUUCGCUAUUUUGGAGGAAGGAACAUUGUUGAUGAUCCUUCUCUGCAUUCUUUACAGUCCAGGAGGACCUGUGGGUAUUUGGGUCCUGCAUAGUGGACCAACAGGGACCACUUCCUCUCUGGGGCAUGACAGCUUGAUUGAUGCCCUCUCAAAAGAAGGCCUGUUUCAGAACGAAAAACAACAACGAACAUCUUUGAUGCAGCCUUUUUCAGGCAGCUAUGAAUUAUGAAUUAUGUGAAUGCGUCAUAUAUCUCUAUUGAAACUUGUUGGAAAAACCCUGGAUGACAUGAGUGGAGUCCGGAGCUUUAUCCCAUAAAUGAAAAAGCAUCAGUGAACCGUAAGGAUCUGUCUGCCUCGCUGGUGCAGGACAGCUACUUCCAGAUUAGGCAAGAGUAUUUCUCAAUGCUGACUGUUGGGAAAGAUGGCAAUGUGAAAUCCUGGUACCCCUCCCUUAUGUGGUCCAUGUCAAGGAGAUGGCCAUCCAGCCGUCUUUCGGCAUGUGCUGCCCACGACGGUUAAGGUUAUUAAGAACAGAAGGGAAUGUUUCGAGCCUGUGCACUUCAUACUGGGAAAGGUGUGACUGUGAGUAGUUCAAAUGUCAGAAAACCUUGCCUUUGCAUUUUUCCUUCUAAACAGUACCCCAAACACAUCUCACUUUAUUAUUUUGUGUUAGCUAAUAUUUAGAUUUGCAUGUGUCAUGAAGUAUAUUGUUGAUUUUUUGUACAUUCAUGAAUUAACAAUAAUAAACUUGAAAUUCCAGAAAAGAAAAAUCCAAGUGAUCCAUGUUUUGCUAGUUAUUUUGCAGAUAAGAGU
This is a long non-coding RNA of Carassius auratus (goldfish), 1228 nucleotides long. RefSeq lists it as uncharacterized. The record is from RefSeq and is a predicted model, not a curated record. NCBI's taxonomy places the organism in Eukaryota, Metazoa, Chordata, Actinopteri, Cypriniformes, Cyprinidae. The transcript has 3 exons.